This 352-nucleotide ribosomal RNA is filed under the name uncultured Racocetra. RNAcentral's name for it is "SSU rRNA". It matches the Rfam family "Eukaryotic small subunit ribosomal RNA", at positions 569 to 929 of the family's 1831-position model. Lineage: Eukaryota; Fungi; Glomeromycota; Glomeromycetes; Diversisporales; Gigasporaceae. The record is from RNAcentral.
AGCAGCCGCGGUAAUUCCAGCUCCAAUAGCGUAUAUUAAAGUUGUUGCAGUUAAAAAGCUCGUAGUUGAAUUUCGGGGUUCUACCGUUGGUCGGGCUUUGUCUGUACUGGCGUGUAGAAUUUCUACCUUCUGGGGAACCAUCAUGUUAUUAAUUUAACGUGGUGGGAAACCAGGACCUUUACCUUGAAAAAAUUAGAGUGUUCAAAGCAGGCUUAUGUCUGAAUACAUUAGCAUGGAAUAAUAAAAUAGGACGGUGGUCCUGUUUUGUUGGCUUCUGAAUCACCGUAAUGAUUAAUAGGGAUAGUUGGGGGCAUUAGUAUUCAAUUGUCAGAGGUGAAAUUCUUGGAUUUAU